CGCGGCCUAUCAGCUUGUUGGUGAGGUAGUGGCUUACCAAGGCUUUGACGGGUAGCCGGCCUGAGAGGGUGACCGGCCACACUGGGACUGAGACACGGCCCAGACUCCUACGGGAGGCAGCAGUGGGGAAUAUUGCACAAUGGGCGAAAGCCUGAUGCAGCGACGCCGCGUGAGGGAUGACGGCCUUCGGGUUGUAAACCUCUUUCAGCAGGGACGAAGCGUGAGUGACGGUACCUGCAGAAGAAGCACCGGCUAACUACGUGCCAGCAGCCGCGGUAAUACGUAGGGUGCGAGCGUUGUCCGGAAUUAUUGGGCGUAAAGAGCUUGUAGGCGGUUUGUCGCGUCUGCCGUGAAAGCCCAGGGCUUAACCCUGGGUCUGCGGUGGGUACGGGCAGGCUAGAGUGUGGUAGGGGAGACUGGAAUUCCUGGUGUAGCGGUGAAAUGCGCAGAUAUCAGGAGGAACACCGAUGGCGAAGGCAGGUCUCUGGGCCAUUACUGACGCUGAGAAGCGAAAGCAUGGGGAGCGAACAGGAUUAGAUACCCUGGUAGUCCAUGCCGUAAACGUUGGGCGCUAGGUGUGGGACUCAUUCCACGAGUUCCGUGCCGCAGCUAACGCAUUAAGCGCCCCGCCUGGGGAGUACGG
This 643-nucleotide ribosomal RNA is filed under the name uncultured marine bacterium. RNAcentral's name for it is "bacterial SSU rRNA". It matches the Rfam family "Bacterial small subunit ribosomal RNA", at positions 232 to 885 of the family's 1533-position model. The record is from RNAcentral.